RNAcentral lists this ribosomal RNA (440 nucleotides) under uncultured bacterium. RNAcentral's name for it is "partial 16S ribosomal RNA". It matches the Rfam family "Bacterial small subunit ribosomal RNA", at positions 338 to 795 of the family's 1533-position model. The record is from RNAcentral.
CCUACGGGUGGCAGCAGUGGGGAAUAUUGCACAAUGGGCGAAACCCUGAUGCAGCGACGCCGCGUGAGUGAAGAAGGAAUUCGUUAUGUAAAGCUCUAUCAGCAGGGAAGAAAAUGACGGUACCUGGGUAAGAAGCCCCGGCUAACUACGUGCAAGCAGCCGCGGUAAUACGUCGGGGGCCAGCGUUAUCCGGAGUUACUGGGUGUAAAGGGAGCGUAGACGGCAGUGCAAGUCUGGAGGGAAAGGCGGGGGCUCAACCCCCGGACGGCCCUUGAAACUGUACGGCUGGAGUGCAGGAGAGGUAAGUGGAAUUCCUAGUGUAGCGGUGAAAUGCGUAGAUAUUAGGAGGAACACCAGUGGCGAAGGCGGCUUACUGGACUGUAACUGACGUUGAGGCUCGAAAGCGUGGGUAGCAAACAGGAUUAGAUACCCUAGUAGUC